AUGCAAACUGAUUGGGGCGGUGAAUAUGAAAAACCCAAUGCCUUCUUCCAAAAAGUUGGCAUUACACAUCAUGUGUCUUGUCCUCACGCCCAUCAACAAAAUGGUUCAGAUGAACGUAAACAUCGACACAUUUUUGAGGUUGGCCUUGCCUUACUUUCUCAUGCAUGCAUGCCUCUUAAAUUUUGGGAUGAAUCCUUUCUCACCGCCACAUAUCUCAUAAAUUUGCUCCCUACCAAGGUACUAAAGCACACGAGUCCUACUGAAGUACUACUCCAUGUCAAACCCAACUAUGAAUCUCUUUGUGUGUUUGGGUGUGCAUGUUGGCCAAACCUUCGCCCUUAUAGCAAACGGAAACUCUCGUUUCACUCCAAGCGAUGUGUUUUCUUAGGCUAUAGUCCUAGACAUAAAGGGGUCACAUGUCUUGAUAUAUCCAGCGGUCGUGUCUACAUCUCACGUGAUGUUGUGUUUGAUGAGAAUGUUUUUUCCCUUUGCUCUUCUUAA
Molecule: ribosomal RNA, 501 nt
Filed under: Triticum aestivum (bread wheat)
Lineage: Eukaryota; Viridiplantae; Streptophyta; Magnoliopsida; Poales; Poaceae
Description: partial small subunit ribosomal RNA
Source: RNAcentral